RNAcentral lists this ribosomal RNA (497 nucleotides) under uncultured bacterium. Its description in RNAcentral is "partial 16S ribosomal RNA". It matches the Rfam family "Bacterial small subunit ribosomal RNA", at positions 28 to 507 of the family's 1533-position model. The record is from RNAcentral.
GAUGAACGCUGGCGGCGUGCCUAAUACAUGCAAGUCGAGCGAACAGAUGAGGAGCUUGCUCCUCUGACGUUAGCGGCGGACGAGUGAGUAACACGUGGAUAACCUCCCUAUAAGACUGGGAUAACUUCGGGAAACCGGAGCUAAUACCGGAUAAUAUAUUGAACCGCAUGGUUCAAUAGUGAAAGACGGUUUUGCUGUCACUUAUAGAUGGAUCCGCGCCGCAGUAGCUAGUUGGUAAGGUAACGGCUUACAAAGGCAACGAUGCGUAGCCGACCUGAGAGGGUGAUCGGCGACACUGGAACUGAGACACGGUCCAGACUCCUACGGGAGGCAGCAGUAGGGAAUCUUCCGCGAUGGGCGAAAGCCUGACGGAGCAACGCCGCGUGGGUGAUGAAGGUCUUCGGAUCGUAAAACUCUGUUAUUAGGGAAGAACAAAUGUGUAAGUAACUAUGCACGUCUUGACGGUAUCUAAUCAGAAAGCCACGGCUAACUACGUG